GGACGGGUGAGUAAUGUCUGGGAAACUGCCUGAUGGAGGGGGAUAACUACUGGAAACGGUAGCUAAUACCGCAUAACGUCGCAAGACCAAAGAGGGGGACCUUCGGGCCUCUUGCCAUCAGAUGUGCCCAGAUGGGAUUAGCUUGUUGGUGAGGUAACGGCUCACCAAGGCGACGAUCCCUAGCUGGUCUGAGAGGAUGACCAGCCACACUGGAACUGAGACACGGUCCAGACUCCUACGGGAGGCAGCAGUGGGGAAUAUUGCACAAUGGGCGCAAGCCUGAUGCAGCCAUGCCGCGUGUAUGAAGAAGGCCUUCGGGUUGUAAAGUACUUUCAGCGGGGAGG
This 344-nucleotide ribosomal RNA is filed under the name Salmonella enterica subsp. enterica serovar Give. RNAcentral describes it as "bacterial SSU rRNA". It matches the Rfam family "Bacterial small subunit ribosomal RNA", at positions 100 to 447 of the family's 1533-position model. Lineage: Bacteria; Pseudomonadati; Pseudomonadota; Gammaproteobacteria; Enterobacterales; Enterobacteriaceae. The record is from RNAcentral.